AACGCUGGCGGCGUGCCUAACACAUGCAAGUCGAACGGAAGUUAGAGCUUCGGUUUUAACUUUAGUGGCGAACGGGUGAGUAACGCGUGAGGAACCUGCCUUCCAGUGGGGGACAACAGUUGGAAACGACUGCUAAUACCGCAUAACACUUUAGUACCGCAUGGUACAGAAGUCAAAGAUUUAUCGGCAAAGGAUGGGCCUGCGUCUGAUUAGCUAGUUGGUGGGGUAACGGCCUACCAAGGCGACGAUCAGUAGCCGACCUGAGAGGGUGAUCGGCCACAUUGGAACUGAGACACGGUCCAAACUCCUACGGGAGGCAGCAGUGGGGAAUAUUGCACAAUGGGCGAAAGCCUGAUGCAGCAACGCCGCGUGAAGGAAGAAGGUCUUCGGAUCGUAAACUUCUGUCCUUAGGGAAGAUAAUGACGGUACCUUGGAGGAAGCCCCGGCUAACUACGUG
Molecule: ribosomal RNA, 457 nt
Filed under: uncultured bacterium
Lineage: Bacteria
Description: bacterial SSU rRNA
Rfam family: Bacterial small subunit ribosomal RNA
Source: RNAcentral